Molecule: ribosomal RNA, 317 nt
Filed under: uncultured Pseudomonadota bacterium
Lineage: Bacteria; Pseudomonadati; Pseudomonadota
Description: bacterial SSU rRNA
Rfam family: Bacterial small subunit ribosomal RNA
Source: RNAcentral
AUUGAACGCUGGCGGCAUGCCUAACACAUGCAAGUCGAACGGAGGUAGGGGCAACCUUACUUCAGUGGCGGACGGGUGAGGAAUGCGUCGGAAUCUACCCUAUGGUGGGGGAUAACACAGGGAAACUUGUGCUAAUACCGCAUGAUGUCGAGAGACCAAAGCAGGGGACCGCAAGGCCUUGCGCGAUAGGAUGAGCCGACGCCCGAUUAGCUAGUUGGUAGGGUAAUGGCCUACCAAGGCGACGAUCGGUAGCUGGUCUGAGAGGAUGAUCAGCCACACUGGGACUGAGACACGGCCCAGACUCCUACGGGAGGCUG